GACAGAGGAUGCAAGCGUUAUCCGGAAUGAUUGGGCGUAAAGCGUCUGUAGGUGGCUUUUCAAGUCCGCCGUCAAAUCCCAGGGCUCAACCCUGGACAGGCGGUGGAAACUACCAAGCUGGAGUACGGUAGGGGCAGAGGGAAUUUCCGGUGGAGCGGUGAAAUGCGCAGAUAUCGGGAAGAACACCCGUGGCGAAGGCGGCUCUCUGGGACGGUACUGACGCUGAGACGCGAAAGCGUGGGGAGCGAACAGG
Molecule: ribosomal RNA, 253 nt
Filed under: uncultured bacterium
Lineage: Bacteria
Description: partial 16S ribosomal RNA
Rfam family: Bacterial small subunit ribosomal RNA
Source: RNAcentral